This 207-nucleotide ribosomal RNA is filed under the name uncultured bacterium. Its description in RNAcentral is "partial 16S ribosomal RNA". It matches the Rfam family "Bacterial small subunit ribosomal RNA", at positions 568 to 774 of the family's 1533-position model. The record is from RNAcentral.
CACGUAGGCGGAUUGUUAAGUUGGGGGUGAAAUCCCAGGGCUCAACCCUGGAACUGCCUUCAAUACUGGCAAUCUAGAGUCCGGAAGAGGUGAGUGGAACUCCUAGUGUAGAGGUGGAAUUCGUAGAUAUUAGGAAGAACACCAGUGGCGAAGGCGGCUCACUGGUCCGGUACUGACGCUGAGGUGCGAAAGCGUGGGGAGCAAACA